GACGAACGCUGGCGGCGUGCUUAACACAUGCAAGUCGAACGGAAAGGCCCUGCUUUUGUGGGGUGCUCGAGUGGCGAACGGGUGAGUAACACGUGAGUAACCUGCUCUUGACUUUGGGAUAACUUCAGGAAACUGGGGCUAAUACCGGAUAGGAUCUCCUGCUGCAUUGUGGGGGUUGGAAAGUUUCGGCGGUUGGGGAUGGACUCGCGGCUUAUCAGCUUGUUGGUGGGGUAGUGGCUUACCAAGGCUUUGACGGGUAGCCGGCCUGAGAGGGUGACCGGCCACAUUGGGACUGAGAUACGGCCCAGACUCCUACGGGAGGCAGCAGUGGGGAAUAUUGCACAAUGGGCGGAAGCCUGAUGCAGCAACGCCGCGUGCGGGAUGACGGCCUUCGGGUUGUAAACCGCUUUCGCCUGUGACGAAGCGUGAGUGACGGUAAUGGGUAAAGAAGCACCGGCUAACUACGUG
RNAcentral lists this ribosomal RNA (468 nucleotides) under uncultured bacterium. RNAcentral's name for it is "partial 16S ribosomal RNA". It matches the Rfam family "Bacterial small subunit ribosomal RNA", at positions 28 to 507 of the family's 1533-position model. The record is from RNAcentral.